GAACCUGACUCUUAUGAGCCCACCCCCACCACCUUCACCAGUGAGGCAGCCAUCAUUGUCCUCAUCAAGUUCACACUCAGGCCAAGCCCAUCACAUGGACACCCAGCUGUUGAGCCCACCUCAACCCCUCCCAAUUCACCCCCCUUUGAGGCAGCCAUCAUCAUCCUCAAGAAAUCCAUCUGAACAAGUGGACA
Neoarius graeffei (lesser salmon catfish) is the source of this 194-nucleotide long non-coding RNA. RefSeq lists it as uncharacterized. The record is from RefSeq and is a predicted model, not a curated record. The transcript has 3 exons. Lineage: Eukaryota; Metazoa; Chordata; Actinopteri; Siluriformes; Ariidae.